UACAUAUUUUGUUUUUCUUCCUUACUGCAUGCCUUAUAUUGUUUAAUUAACUGUUUACAUCUUAGUCCAUUACUUUACAUACUGUAAAGUCUGAUAUUUUUAGGGGUUUUUUUUGCCAUAUCCACAAACUGCCCAUAUACUUGCAAAUAUCUGGUUAUGCUUUAUAAUAAGUAUUUUACCACAUUUACCCAUAAAUAAGACGAGCCAUGUGCAAGACAGGUUCCUUUAAUUACGUCAAAAUCUGCAUAUUUUGAAGACUCUUUUAUUAAUACAUUGACUCACUUACUAGACAGGGUAAAACAUUAGAUCAAAAUUUGAAUGAGAAAACACAAGUUUUAUAGGUGAGUAAAUACAGUAUUUCUCAUUGUGUGAAACCAAUAGCAGACUUUUAGCCUCACAAAAGUAUCAGACUUUACAGUAAAUACCCCGUUUUGAACAUAUCGAACCCACAACAGACACUGGCUUAUAUGUGUGUAAUAUUGAAAAUAUUCAGAAAUGUUCAUAACAUUAAAAUUUCUGUUGCCUAACUUCAGUACAUCUGAAGCUGAAAAAUGUUUCUUUAAGUUUUCAAUAAGAUCAAUUUUUGAAUGAACCAGUUUCAUUAAGAUUAGGAUAGUGGUAAUAUUUGCCAAUGUCUUGCAUGUGUUAUAAAUACCAAUUCUGUUGACAAAUGUACCAGUAGUAUUCUAAAGUAACAAAUUUAUUUUCUCUGUUACCUAGGCUCAUAUUCAUCAACAAUACAAUUCUUACAUCAGACUGAAAAAAAAAUGGAUAGAUUAAACGAGACUAACCUUCAUAGAAGGGAUGUUGAAGUUUGAUCGAGAUUUUAUCAACUGUUAACAUCCUUGGGAGGCAUUAUGGUUAUGCAAAGUGCCUUGAAAACUGAGUUUUACACAAGAGGAGGGAAAAAAGAAAUUGUUCUAUGGUUCCUCAACUAAAUUUAAGGCUUUGAAUAAAUGAAAAGUUGAUAAAAAUGGGCUGUCACUGCAAAAUAAUAUACCAAGAAUUUACCAAAAGAAAAGAUUAGACAUGCUAUUUAUUUAUCCAAGAAUCUAUAAUGCAAUUAUUGUAUAUAUAUCAAGGCAUGAUAUUAGAUCAUGUAUGUUAAUGAGAAAAGAUUAUGUAUAUGUAUGCAAUAAGAUUAUACACUUAUUCAAUGACAAUGAUGUGAUUUAACCUUUAGCUUGCUAGUGGCAAGUGGUUGUGCCUUUGCGACCAGUGCAGACCAAGAUCAGCCUGCACAUCUGUGCAGACUGAUCAUGAUCUGCACUGUUCGCUAUUCAGUCAGUAAAGUUUCUGAGUAAACACCCCUUUGAAUAAUAAAUGGUAUUACCCAAACUGAAUGAUGGACCAGUCCAUUUUAGAAAUUUUGCAAGCUAAAGGUUAAGUUGCUAUUGAGGGUGUGCCAAUAACAACUUCAGGCAUGCCAUUGCAGUUUCCAAUGAGUUGGUUAUUAUAUUUCCUAAGCCUAACUUAUGUUUAUUGAUACAUGUCACUUGGCAUUCUAAUCAGAGGUUAAUAUAUAUAGUGGGUAUGCCUUCUGGUCAUAAUUGCACACUCCUGGUGCAGUAAUGGCCCUAUGGCCAUGGUGAAACUAGAUGUGCCAUUAUAGAUAAGAAGGCACACCUCAGCAAUUUAUUGACCUUUUAUCAUAUACACUGCUAUAUGACAGUCACAUUGGAAUGCACGGACAUUCCACCAGGGCCUAGAAGUAUGCCAGUAACAUGUUAUUUGUUCGGUGUACAAAGUCAACUGGUAUUUUUAUACCUGUAAUUUUUAAACAUAAAAUUGUUUCUAUUUGUAGUAAUUUAUAUAAUUGCCAUUUAUUGGACAUUUGUAUUACCAGAUUCUGAAGUUAUUACUAUUUAUCAGCAUUAGGUAUAUUAUUAGGAAAUAGAUUUUAAACAGAAGCACAGUAUACAAUAUGUAUUAACCAUUGUAAAAACUUUUAUUUCUGAUAUGACCUUAGUAACCUCUUAUGUGAAUCAAUGUACUGACCCUGCCUUCAUUUCUGACAAUUAAAACAACUAAAUUUCUUUUUUAUAAUUUAUUUUACAGUCAACAGAGGUAGUAAACCGUACACCACUGCAUUGUUUGUGGUUUUGUCACAUUUUUCUCUUUUCUGACCUAAAAAAAAAAGGACUUUGUCAAAACCGCUCACGAACAAAAUUUCCUGUGUUGCUUUCAAUGUAGGUCCGAACUGCCAAGGUCAAGGUAACAGGCAGGUCUGUACUUCUAAGAUCAAGGUCACAGGCAAUGUCAAUUAACUGUACCCAUGCUCAUUCAUAAUUAAAUAAUGAUAACAUAUUUCAUAUCUCAGGCAUAAAUUUCAAAUCAUAAUAUAUUAACAUUACAGAAAAUUCAAUGGAUCAUGGAUGCCUUUGCCUAAGUUCUAUGUACCUAGAGAGGUUUUAAUAUCCUUGAAUGCACAAAAUUCAUACUGAGGGGAUUGUGAAUUAGGUUGGUUGAGGUUACAAACUUGUAUAGGUAAAAGUACAUGUAAGAUUUCUUUCUUUUAUUUCAGUAAGCAUCUGAGAUUUCAAGAUUCAGACCACAGUACUAACUGCUAGCUGUUUACAAAAUUUAACGUUACAUGUUUCAAUGGACUUGUAAAAACAGGCUUACAUGUUUCAAAUGUGUACAUUUACCUGUAUCAAGCAAUUGAUUGAUAUCAGACACUUUUAGCAAAUGCUAAUUGUUAAGUUUUAUAAGUGAGUUCUUGUAUGAAGCCAAAAUGUCUUUAUUAUUAUGCCUAAUUCCUAUACAGUCAGUGAGAUUUAGCCCGAAACUAUUUCACAAAUUGAAAUGAAGUGGUUUUACUGAAUACCAAGCACUACUAUUCUCAGGCUGUUAUUCUAUAUCUAUUAGCUGUUUUCCAUCUUUUCUAAACAAUUUCAGGCUGAGGAUUUCAAAUACUGACAGUACUAAUUACCUUGAUUAUAUCGAGUAAUUUUCUCAAAGCAAUUAUUAAUUUUUUAGUUUAUUAUUUUAAAUUUAGUAUUAUUAUAGUAUAUAAAACUUUUUACAGUUGUUUCAGCUGAAAGGUUGUAUCUGCCUAUUUAAUACAAUCCUUUAUACUAUAAUAUUUGUGUUACCAACAUGACAUCAUAUGCAUUCAAUACAAAUGGCAGAAACAGCCUUUAUUUCAGUAGAAAUUUCUCAGUCUGACAAAAACAUUGAUUGUAAAUGCUAGACACAACCUUUUAUCAGUAAUUAAAUUCCAUUUCACUUCAAUAAACAAGGACAUUACAUAUAUUAUUUUAAGUUAAGGUUAUUGCCAUUUGGAUGUAGUUUCUGAAAUUCAAAAAAGUUAAGUGAUGCCUGUUACGAUCUUUUAUUUCUGGGAUGUCAUUUUGUGUGGCACUUCAAGUUGAUGUCAUGAAAAUAUGUCUAUUCAAACAUGCCAGGUGUAUGACAGAUACUUACAGCCAGGUUUCAAUGGUGCCCUGUUUACUUAGUAGAUAAUUGUUCCAAAUGUAAGAUAAUAGCUGUUAGCUUAAUAAUAUGUAAUUUAAUAAUAAAUAACUGGUUCGGAAUAUGUACAAUUUUACCUUUAGUCAUGUAUAUAUUUUCAUCAGCCUUGCAUUUUUAUGCCCCCGAAGGGAGGCAUAUAGUUUUUGAACUGUCUGUCCGUCUGUCAGUCUGUCGGUCUGUCAGCUGGUCAGUCUGUCCGCAAUUUUCGUGUCCGGUCCAUAUCUUUGUCAUUGAUGGUUGGAUUUUCAAAUAACUUGGCAUAAAUGUGUACCACAGUAAGACGACGUGUCGCGCACAAGACCCAGGUCCGUAGCUCAAAGGUCAAGGUCACACUUAGACGUUAAAGGUCAUUUUUCAUGAUAGUGCAUUCGUGUCCGGUCCAUAUCUUUGUCAUCCAUGGAUGGAUUUUCAAAUAACUUGGCAUGAAUGUGUACCACAGUAAGACGACGUGUCGUGUGCAAGACCCAGGUCCAUAGCUCAAAGGUCAAGGUUACACUUAGACGUUAAAGGUCAUUUUUCAUGAUAGUGCAUUCGUGUCCGGUCCAUAACUUUGUCAUCCAUGGAUGGAUUUUCAAAUAACUUGGCAUGAAUGUGUACCACAGUAAGACGACAUGUCAUGCGCAAGACCCAGGUCUGUAGCUCAAAGGUCAAGGUCACACUAAGACGUUAAAGGUCAUAUUUCAUGAUAGUGCAUUGAUGGGCAUGUCCGGUCCAUAUCUUUGUCAUUCAUGCAUGGAUUUUAAAAUUAUUGGGCAUGAAUGUGACCCACAGUAAGACAACAUGUCGCGCGCAAGACCCAGGUCCGUAGGUCAAAGGUCCUAAACUCUAACAUCGGCCAUAACUAUUCAUUCAAAGUGCCAUCGAGGGCAUGUGUCAUCCUAUGGAGACAGCUCUUGUUUUAAGUUU
Long non-coding RNA from Mercenaria mercenaria, 4380 nucleotides. RefSeq lists it as uncharacterized. NCBI's taxonomy places the organism in Eukaryota, Metazoa, Mollusca, Bivalvia, Venerida, Veneridae. The record is from RefSeq and is a predicted model, not a curated record. The transcript is spliced from 2 exons.